Molecule: long non-coding RNA, 670 nt
Filed under: Lepidothrix coronata (blue-crowned manakin)
Lineage: Eukaryota; Metazoa; Chordata; Aves; Passeriformes; Pipridae
Description: lncRNA (ENSLCOG00000004446.1)
Source: RNAcentral
GCUCGGGUUGCCAGUGGCACAGCGCAUCCUUCCACCCGCGGUCUCCUCUCGGAAAAGAGGCGGAUUCCCAACUGCGCCGCUGCCAUGGCCUCAGUACCCUCCGCCGGCUGCCUCCUGGCCAAGAACCAGUACUACAGAACAAGACUGAACUCUGAAUCCAGUGUUUCUUCCAGCUCCUCCUGCUGUUCAGAUGCCACGAACGUUACAGACCAGGAAAAAAUAUUUCAUGGGUUACCUGACUUAAUUGAUAAAUAUUGGUGGAUAAAAAGCUUCUUCCAUAGUGAACCAUCUCCACCACCUGUUGGCAGAAAAACGCUAUCAGCAAGCAGUACCAAUAGUUGAAAGAACAAUGUGAUGGCCUUACUGACUGAGAUGCUAUAUACAGACCUGUUUUUCCAAGAGGCUUGGGAUCUUCCUAAUGUCUGGGUUCAGCUGCGAGAAGAAAACAAAACCUUUAGGAAAGUGGAAAAGUGUAUUUUCAAAAUAUUUUUCAGUAGCUUAAAUGGUAUUGCUUAAUGGAUAUGUCCAUGGCCCACCGUGUUCUUUACAGAAUUGUAUAAUUUGAGAUGUCUCUCUAAUGGAAGUAACCAGGAUUAAAUAUCCAGAUUAACUGAAUAAUUAGAGAAAAAAUUACAAUAAAGGUAAGAUUGUAGGUUUAGGAGAAGAAUCU